CAGAGACAGACUUUGGUAGUGAUCUGAGAGAGAAAACAUUGAAACAUGUUUUAGAGUGGUAUUUUGUGAAUAGUCUAUGUGCAUAGUUAAAGGAUAGUUAACAAAUGCAAUUAUUCAACAAGAGAACAUUAAACUCUCUCAAGAUUUGCCUUCCCAAUCAUAACAGGAAUAAGACCUAUACUAGACAGAUGCUACAGGGCUUAUGAACAUCUACAUAGGAUGAAAGAAGAAAGUAAGUCAGGGUUGGAACAUCAUGAGGGACCUCUGUCAGUUAUUCAUAUAGAUACCAUGGAGAUGGAAUGCCCUGCACUCCUCCAUUUGAUGUUGUCAUCUAAAAGGACAGCUGGGCCGUUGGACCUGCUGGGGAUGGUGUACACCUGGGACUCACAGGACUGCUGUACGGCUUCAUACAAGCUGUCCAUAG
Long non-coding RNA from Myxocyprinus asiaticus (Chinese sucker), 424 nucleotides. RefSeq lists it as uncharacterized. The record is from RefSeq and is a predicted model, not a curated record. Lineage: Eukaryota; Metazoa; Chordata; Actinopteri; Cypriniformes; Catostomidae. The transcript has 4 exons.